This 371-nucleotide long non-coding RNA is filed under the name Phoenix dactylifera (date palm). RNAcentral's name for it is "long non-coding RNA (PDAC_LNC019850)". Lineage: Eukaryota; Viridiplantae; Streptophyta; Magnoliopsida; Arecales; Arecaceae. The record is from RNAcentral.
UUUCAAUUGUUUAUGAUUUUAGGGAUAGUGGAGUUAAUCAUAGAUCUUAGUAUCACCAGAGUUGGUGGGAGUAAUUGAUAGAAUGAUUCUUCCUGAAUCUUUCAUAAAGCAAUGAUUGAUGCAGUAAACUUUUGGUUCUCAAUUGAGGACUGAUUACCUUUGCCAUGUUGUUGUAGCAAUAUCAAGUGGUAAGAGUGGAAGUCUAUUGUUCUUGUAAGAUGCAUGACCUGUGCGAUAUCAAUUAUUAUUUGACUAAAUAUGUUAUUUGAUUAUAAAUUAGAUUUUCCUUGUGAUUGGCAUUGGGGUGGUUACUGGUGUCCAUGACUUUAGAACCAUGGAACCUCAGAGGUUCAAGCAUGUUGGUGAUAUUG